This 269-nucleotide ribosomal RNA is filed under the name uncultured soil bacterium. RNAcentral's name for it is "partial 16S ribosomal RNA". It matches the Rfam family "Bacterial small subunit ribosomal RNA", at positions 26 to 282 of the family's 1533-position model. The record is from RNAcentral.
AGAAUCAACGCUGGCGGCGUGCCUAACACAUGCAAGUCGAACGCGAAAGUCCCGAAAGGGGCAAGUAGAGUGGCAAACGGGUGAGUAACACGUGGGUGACCUGCCUUCGAGCGGGGGAUAACGUCCCGAAAGGGACGCUAAUACCGCAUAACAUCCUGCCUUUGAAGAGGUGGAGAUCAAAGCUGGGGAUCGCAAGACCCGGCACUUGAAGAGGGGCCCGCGUCUGAUUAGCUAGUUGGUGGGGUAACGGCCUACCAAGGCAACGAUCA